CUAAAACAGGCACAAUUUCAAUCUAAUUAAUUGUAUCUGAGAUUUUUUUACCAGAUUUUUUUACUAACAGGGAGCCCUCACUUUUUGCCGUAGCAAAACUGUUGGCAACUGGUCUUGUAAAUCUGAACAGGGUAGAAGUUCUUUGGCAUCCUGUAACAAAUCACCUGCUUGAAGUCAUCAUCCACCCACUUAACCGCUUGAGAGAAUGGGGAAUAGAUGUCAUUACUACGUUAGUUAGAUCAGUAAUUCAAUAUGAUUAUUCUACCCCUUUAAAAGAAAACCAGAGAUUGCAGACAUUGUUAAUAUCACCAUUAAAUGAGCUGUCUAGUACCAGUUUUGCAGACGUGCAGCUACAGCAAGUUGAUUGUGUGCUCCAUUUGCUGCACAGCUCUGGUGACAUAAUCUCUUUUGGAUGGCCCUUGUUUCUUAAUAUCAUAGGAGAUACCAACAAUUCUCAAGGUAAAUUGUCUUUAAAAUAACUGAAACAACAUGAAAAUUUUUUUGCGCUUGCUCACUUGGGUC
Molecule: long non-coding RNA, 522 nt
Organism: Daphnia magna
Lineage: Eukaryota; Metazoa; Arthropoda; Branchiopoda; Diplostraca; Daphniidae
Exons: 4
Source: RefSeq, a predicted model, not a curated record